RNAcentral lists this ribosomal RNA (446 nucleotides) under uncultured bacterium. RNAcentral describes it as "partial 16S ribosomal RNA". It matches the Rfam family "Bacterial small subunit ribosomal RNA", at positions 338 to 795 of the family's 1533-position model. The record is from RNAcentral.
CCUACGGGUGGCAGCAGUCGAGAAUCAUUCACAAUGGGGGAAACCCUGAUGGAGCGACGCCGCGUGGGGGAAUGAAGGUCUGCGGAUUGUAAACCCCUGUCAUGUGGGCGCAAAUUAAAAAGAUAGUACCACAAGAGGAAGAGACGGCUAACUCUGUGCCAGCAGCCGCGGUAAUACAGAGGUCUCAAGCGUUGUUCGGAAUCACUGGGCGUAAGGCGUGCGUAGGCUGUUUCGUAAGUCGUGUGUGAAAGGCGCGGGCUCAACCCGCGGACGGCACAUGAUACUGCGAGACUAGAGUAAUGGAGGGGGAACCGGAAUUCUCGGUGUAGCAGUGAAAUGCGUAGAUAUCGAGAGGAACACUCGUGGCGAAGGCGGGUUCCUGGACAUUAACUGACGCUGAGGCACGAAGGCCAGGGGAGCGAAAGGGAUUAGAUACCCCUGUAGUC